RNAcentral lists this ribosomal RNA (115 nucleotides) under Aeromonas media. The record is from RNAcentral. Lineage: Bacteria; Pseudomonadati; Pseudomonadota; Gammaproteobacteria; Aeromonadales; Aeromonadaceae. RNAcentral also lists the same sequence under 1 other name.
CCUGGCGGCCAUAGCACCGUGGAACCACCUGAUCCCAUGCCGAACUCAGAAGUGAAACGCGGUAGCGCCGAUGGUAGUGUGGCAUUCGCCAUGCGAGAGUAGGACACUGCCAGGC